This 1396-nucleotide ribosomal RNA is filed under the name bacterium Ellin5129. RNAcentral's name for it is "bacterial SSU rRNA". It matches the Rfam family "Bacterial small subunit ribosomal RNA". Lineage: Bacteria; Bacillati; Actinomycetota; Actinomycetes. The record is from RNAcentral.
ACGAACGCUGGCGGCGUGCUUAACACAUGCAAGUCGAACGAGGUGCUUGCACCUAGUGGCGAACGGGUGAGUAACACGUGAGCAACCUGCCCUUGGCUCUGGGAUAGCCUCCGGAAACGGGGAUUAAUACCGGACAUGACCUGCUUCUGCAUGGGAGCGGGUGGAAAGUUUUUCGGCCAGGGAGGGGCUCGCGGCCUAUCAGCUUGUUGGAGGGGUAACGGCCCACCAAGGCGACGACGGGUAGCCGGCCUGAGAGGGCGACCGGCCACACUGGGACUGAGACACGGCCCAGACUCCUACGGGAGGCAGCAGUGGGGAAUAUUGCACAAUGGGGGAAACCCUGAUGCAGCGACGCCGCGUGCGGGAUGAAGGCCUUCGGGUUGUAAACCGCUUUCAGCAGGGACGAAGCGAGAGUGACGGUACCUGCAGAAGAAGCGCCGGCAUAACUACGUGCCAGCAGCCGCGGUAAUACGUAGGGCGCAAGCGUUGUCCGGAAUUAUUGGGCGUAAAGAGCUCGUAGGCGGCCUGUCGCGUCUGCUGUGAAAUCCCGGGGCUUAACCCCGGGCCUGCAGUGGAUACGGGCAGGCUGGAGGCAGGCAGGGGAGAACGGAAUUCCCGGUGUAGCGGUGAAAUGCGCAGAUAUCGGGAGGAACACCGGUGGCGAAGGCGGUUCUCUGGGCCUGUACUGACGCUGAGGAGCGAAAGCGUGGGGAGCGAACAGGAUUAGAUACCCUGGUAGUCCACGCCGUAAACGUUGGGCGCUAGGUGUGGGUCCCUUCCACGGGGUCUGUGCCGCAGCUAACGCAUUAAGCGCCCCGCCUGGGGAGUACGGCCGCAAGGCUAAAACUCAAAGAAAUUGACGGGGGCCCGCACAAGCGGCGGAGCAUGUUGCUUAAUUCGACGCAACGCGAAGAACCUUACCAAGGUUUGACAUGGCCGGAAAACUCAUGGAGACAUGGGGUCCUUCGGGGCCGGUCACAGGUGGUGCAUGGCUGUCGUCAGCUCGUGUCGUGAGAUGUUGGGUUAAGUCCCGCAACGAGCGCAACCCUCGUCCAAUGUUGCCAGCGGGUUAUGCCGGGGACUCAUUGGAGACUGCCGGGGUCAACUCGGAGGAAGGUGGGGAUGACGUCAAGUCAUCAUGCCCCUUAUGUCUUGGGCUGCAAACAUGCUACAAUGGCCGGUACAGAGCGCUGCGACAUCGCAAGAUGGAGCGAAUCGCGGAAAGCCGGUCUCAGUUCGGAUCGGGGUCUGCAACUCGGCCCCGUGAAGCCGGAGUCGCUAGUAAUCGCGGAUCAGCAACGCCGCGGUGAAUACGUUCCCGGGCCUUGUACACACCGCCCGUCACGUCACGAAAGUUGGCAACACCCGAAGCCGGCGGCCUAACCCGUAAGGGAGG